Molecule: small nuclear RNA, 304 nt
Filed under: Octodon degus (degu)
Lineage: Eukaryota; Metazoa; Chordata; Mammalia; Rodentia; Octodontidae
Description: 7SK RNA (ENSODEG00000024813.1)
Rfam family: 7SK RNA
About the family: 7SK was discovered as an abundant small nuclear RNA in the mid-70s but a possible function has only recently been suggested. Two independent studies have found that 7SK RNA binds the CDK9/cyclin T complex (known as elongation factor P-TEFb). P-TEFb activates transcription by phosphorylating the C-terminal domain of RNA polymerase II.
Source: Rfam by way of RNAcentral
GGAUGUGAGGGUGAUUGGGCUGUGACAUCUGUCACCAGGGUUGAUUCAGUUGAUCUGGCUGGCUAGGAGGAUGUCCCCUUCCUCCCUCAAUGCUCCAUGUAGUCCCUCCCCAAGCUGUGUGCUUGGUCAAAGAGGACGACCAUCCUGGACAGAGGAGGAUCGUUCCUUGGUGAAGGGUAUAUGAGUAGCUGGACUCCCUGCUAGAACCUCCAAACAAGCUCUCAAUUAAACAGAGGAUAUAAAUCUAUGCUUAGCAGUUUGUCUCUAUCAUCUAACAUAUCAAUACACUGCACUGCUCAAUUUA